AACGAACGCUGGCGGCAUGCCUAACACAUGCAAGUCGAACGAGACCUUCGGGUCUAGUGGCGCACGGGUGCGUAACGCGUGGGAACCUGCCCUUAGGUUCGGAAUAACUCCCCGAAAGGGGUGCUAAUACCGGAUAAUGUCUUCGGACCAAAGAUUUAUCGCCUUUGGAUGGGCCCGCGUUGGAUUAGCUAGUUGGUAGGGUAAAAGCCUACCAAGGCGACGAUCCAUAGCUGGUCUGAGAGGAUGAUCAGCCACACUGGGACUGAGACACGGCCCAGACUCCUACGGGACACAGCAGUGGGGAAUAUUAGACAAUGAGCGAUAGCGUGAUCAAGCAAUGCCGCGUGAGUGAUGAAGGCCUUAGGGUUGUAAAGCUCUUUUACACGAGAUGAUAAUGACAGUACCGGGAGAAUAAGCUCCGGCUAACUACGUG
This 433-nucleotide ribosomal RNA is filed under the name uncultured bacterium. RNAcentral's name for it is "partial 16S ribosomal RNA". It matches the Rfam family "Bacterial small subunit ribosomal RNA", at positions 29 to 507 of the family's 1533-position model. The record is from RNAcentral.